This 73-nucleotide transfer RNA is filed under the name Bacteriophage sp. RNAcentral's name for it is "tRNA-Ile". It matches the Rfam family "tRNA". From Rfam's summary of the family: Transfer RNA (tRNA) molecules are approximately 80 nucleotides in length. Their secondary structure includes four short double-helical elements and three loops (D, anti-codon, and T loops). The record is from RNAcentral.
CGGCAUGUAGCUCAGUGGUAGAGCAGUCGGCUAAUAGCUGAUUGGUCGUGGGUUCGAUCCCCAACCUUGCCGA